GUAGGGGGCAAGCGUUGUCCGGAUUUAUUGGGCGUAAAGAGCGUGUAGGCGGCCAGGUAGGUCAGCUGUGAAAACUCGAGGCUCAACCUCGAGACGUCGGUUGAAACCAUCUGGCUAGAGUCCGGAAGAGGAGAGUGGAAUUCCCGGUGUAGCGGUGAAAUGCGCAGAUAUCGGGAAGAACACCCGUGGCGAAGGCGGCUCUCUGGGACGGUACUGACGCUGAGACGCGAAAGCGUGGGGAGCGAACAGGAUUAGAUACCCUGGUAGUCCACGCCGUAAACGAUGGGUGCUAGGUGUGGGGGGUGUCGACUCCCCCCGUGCCGAAGCUAACGCAUUAAGCACCCCGCCUGGGGAGUACGGCCGCAAGGCUA
Molecule: ribosomal RNA, 371 nt
Filed under: uncultured bacterium
Lineage: Bacteria
Description: bacterial SSU rRNA
Rfam family: Bacterial small subunit ribosomal RNA
Source: RNAcentral